RNAcentral lists this transfer RNA (73 nucleotides) under Phycisphaerae bacterium. RNAcentral's name for it is "tRNA-Lys". It matches the Rfam family "tRNA". Rfam says of the family: Transfer RNA (tRNA) molecules are approximately 80 nucleotides in length. Their secondary structure includes four short double-helical elements and three loops (D, anti-codon, and T loops). The record is from RNAcentral. Lineage: Bacteria; Pseudomonadati; Planctomycetota; Phycisphaerae.
GCGUCACUAGCUCAACUGGCAGAGCAGCUGACUCUUAAUCAGCGGGUUCGGGGUUCGAGUCCCUGGUGGCGCA